AUGGUGUGUGCACCGGAGAGGAUGACCAGGUCCUCCGCGUCGAGGCCCUUGACGACGAAGCUGUCCACGAGGUCGCUGAGGUUGGACGUGGGUGGGACGAGGAAGUUGACCGGCUCGGAGGCGUUGGAGAAGGUGCCGUCGCGGCGGCCGGACGGCACCUCGAAGUCCACCUUGCCGGCGCUGAGGAUGCAGGACGCGUCGCGGGCCGAGAAAGCGAUGAUGUCGGCGCAGGAGACGACGCCCGGGCAGGCCGCCUCGAGGGCGUCUUUGAUGGCGUCGAUCAGCUCGAAGCCGCGCAGGGAGGGAUUGUUGGGCGCGCUGAGCUUCUCAGGCGUUGGGCUGAACGGGGUCGGGUCCAGGAGGACCGAAGCGUCACAGCCCUAA
Molecule: ribosomal RNA, 384 nt
Filed under: Triticum aestivum (bread wheat)
Lineage: Eukaryota; Viridiplantae; Streptophyta; Magnoliopsida; Poales; Poaceae
Description: partial small subunit ribosomal RNA
Source: RNAcentral